AAUGUCAUUUCUUGUAAAACAAUAAAGCAAUUAACAAGUUACAUCAUAUUCAACCAAAACUAAUAUGCUCUAGGUAAGGUAGAAACAGUAGCAGAAUAAACUAAAUAAGUCAGUUCAUAUACAAUACCCAUUUGACAAUCGGAUGAAUACGUUUUUGCAUAAACCUAAUCUUUGCCCAAGUGAAAAUAAUCGAAAUAGGGAACACUGUUGUGUCUUUGAUUCCUCAAUUGGGAAACGAAGGCCUUUGGUAGGGAUGCCAAUGUCUGGUUGAACUCUAGUGAUGCUCUAGCUGGUUGGGGCCUGUGAAGGAGUUAUGAACUUGAGGGAUGAAUUGAAAUAUGGAACUAUUGCAAAGUUGCAUUGUUG
This 366-nucleotide unclassified non-coding RNA is filed under the name Hevea brasiliensis (rubber tree). The record is from RNAcentral. Lineage: Eukaryota; Viridiplantae; Streptophyta; Magnoliopsida; Malpighiales; Euphorbiaceae.